Salvia hispanica is the source of this 507-nucleotide long non-coding RNA. RefSeq lists it as uncharacterized. The record is from RefSeq and is a predicted model, not a curated record. NCBI's taxonomy places the organism in Eukaryota, Viridiplantae, Streptophyta, Magnoliopsida, Lamiales, Lamiaceae.
AGUGAUAAUUACCGUAAUGUAUAUAUACAAAUACAACUGAAAAAUAAAAUCCCAAAACCGGUCGUCCUUCCUAUCUAUGCAAGGAUCACUACAGCUAACAGCACCUCUCCAGAGAAUAAACAAUCCUCGGACUUCUACUUUCGGAAAUCAUGGCUGUUUCAUACUCUUCUGCACUAACCGCUGAUUUGAUAUCGAGAGAGAUAAGAGGAGGAGGCAAAAGCCAGAGGCUAUGGAAGAAGACACUGUGGAUGAAGUUAGUGAGAAUGAGAUCAAGGCAGCGCAUUUUGAGGAGUCAAUGAAUUAUAGUCAUAGAAGUUCUAGUGGUGUUUCUUUCCACAAAAUACUCCAGCAGUCUUGUGGUUUUGGCUCUGAAUUCCAGUUUGAAGGUACUAGCCUUCUCUACUCCCAUGCUUUUGUUUCCUAGCAUUAGUUGUUUUUGUGUAUGACAUAGUAUCACAAUACCAAUCUCGUGUAAUAUAUAUUAAUUCCUUUUCAUUAUCUCCUCAA